CCUGGAGAAGUACGGCACAGAUCAAUGUCUGUAUAAGCGCCGUAUAAAACGAUCCGGUCAUAAAAUACGCAGACACCGCAAAAACGAUCAGUACCCCUGUCAUGCUGACAAAGACGCGCGGUGCGUACAUAAUUCCUCCUCCCGAACUUAAACUUGCUCAGUUCAUCGAUCUUUCGGCUCCUCU
RNAcentral lists this small RNA (184 nucleotides) under Rhizobium sp. YS-1r. RNAcentral describes it as "Rhizobiales sRNA Atu_L1". It matches the Rfam family "Rhizobiales sRNA Atu_L1". The record is from Rfam by way of RNAcentral. Lineage: Bacteria; Pseudomonadati; Pseudomonadota; Alphaproteobacteria; Hyphomicrobiales; Rhizobiaceae.